AUACGUAGGUGGCAAGCGUUAUCCGGAAUUAUUGGGCGUAAAGGGGGAGCAGGCGGCAGCAAGGGUCUGUGGUGAAAGCCUGAAGCUUAACUUCAGUAAGCCAUAGAAACCAGGCAGCUAGAGUGCAGGAGAGGAUCGUGGAAUUCCAUGGGUAGCGGUGAAAUGCGUAGAUAUAUGGAGGAACACCAGUGGCGAAGGCGACGAUCUGGCCUGCAACUGACGCUCAGUCCCGAAAGCGUGGGGAGCAAAUAGGAUUAGAUACCCUAGUAGUCCACGCCGUAAACGAUGAGUACUAAGUGUUGGAUGUCAAAGUUCAGUGCUGCAGUUAACGCAAUAAGUACUCCGCCUGAGUAGUACGUUCGCAAGAAUGAAACUCAAAGGAAUUGGCGGGG
This 392-nucleotide ribosomal RNA is filed under the name uncultured bacterium. RNAcentral's name for it is "partial 16S ribosomal RNA". It matches the Rfam family "Bacterial small subunit ribosomal RNA", at positions 523 to 918 of the family's 1533-position model. The record is from RNAcentral.